RNAcentral lists this ribosomal RNA (253 nucleotides) under uncultured bacterium. Its description in RNAcentral is "partial 16S ribosomal RNA". It matches the Rfam family "Bacterial small subunit ribosomal RNA", at positions 524 to 776 of the family's 1533-position model. The record is from RNAcentral.
UACGGAGGAUGCGAGCGUUAUCCGGAUUUAUUGGGUUUAAAGGGUGCGUAGGCGGCCUUGUAAGUCAGCGGUGAAAUUUUGCAGCUUAACUGUAAAAGUGCCGUUGAUACUGUGAGGCUAGGAUUUGGUUGCUGUGGGUGGAAUGUGUGGUGUAGCGGUGAAAUGCUUAGAGAUCACACAGAAUAUCGAUUGCGAAGGCAGCUCACAAAGCCAAGAUUGACGCUGAGGCACGAAAGUGUGGGGAUCAAACAGG